RNAcentral lists this long non-coding RNA (1308 nucleotides) under Homo sapiens (human). RNAcentral's name for it is "HSALNT0089319". Lineage: Eukaryota; Metazoa; Chordata; Mammalia; Primates; Hominidae. The record is from RNAcentral.
GUAAAUGUUUGAAUUUUCUCUGUUGAUUUGUAAUUGAGACAAAUGGAUUGAGAUGUCUGUUCACAUUAUUUUUAAAAAGUGAUGGGCUCCCAUAUUGGCAGAGGCAUUGAGGCACUCAGCAGGGUCAACUGGGACAGUGCUUCUGAGCAAAGUGCGUUGGCCCAUUUCUUGGGUAAAUCACUGGGGAGGCUUGAAAGCACAGAGGUGGAGACUUAAGACAAUGCACUCUGUAGCCAUGCUCUCUGGAUUUGAAUCCCAGAUUUGCCUCUUAGUAACCCUAUGACCUUGCCUGCUAGCAGAGAUGAAUAAGGCUGAAGAAGCAAGUCCCUGGAGAGAAAGGAAGAGAUGAGAGAGACCCCCAAGUUGUGUGAUCACCUCCAGCACACUGGAGACUGAGCCGUUUCACAAGAUCAUUCAUUCUAGGAGAGACCUUGGGAGGAGAAGUCAUGAGGACAGUCAACCAGCUCUUUGAAGAAGUCCACAUGCUGAGAAACUGAGGCCUCCUGCCAACAGCCUUGUGAGUGAAUCAUCUUGGAGGUGGAUCCUCCAGCACCUGUAAAACCUUCAGAUGACCACAGAUCUGGCUGACAUUUUGACCUCAAUGUUAUGAAAAAUCUUGAGGCAGAAGCACCCAGCUAAGCCAAUCCUGUAUUCUUCACCUACAGAAACUAUGAGGUACUAACACAUGCUUAUUGUUUCAAACUGCCAAGUUUUAGAGUAAUUUCUUAUGCAACAAUAGAUAACUAAUAAAACAAUGUUAACAAUAACCUGAUGUACACCCAUGAAAUAUGAUAUCCAGACAAAAUUAGAAAGUGUUUAUGUAUGCACUGCAUUGUUAUGUUUCUUUAUAGAACAAAAAGAAUCCUAUGUUUUUCGGAUCCUUUUCUCAAGUCAGUGCCAGUGAUGCAGGGCCCAUGAGCCCGGAAAUUGGGGCUCAGCCUGGGAGGGUUCUUGGCUCCACCCGGGAAAGUAUUCAAGGGUGGACCAGUGGUGCCAGAUAGCAACUUUUAUUGAAGAGGCCGUGUAUGGCAGCAGCAGAGGCACUGGUCCUUGUGGAGCAGAGAUACUCCAUAGGCAGUGUGCCCAGAGUAGCAGCUCAGAGGCAGUUCUUCAGUCAUAUUUAUACCCACUUUUAAUUACAUGCAAAUUAAGAGGUGAGUUAUUCAGAAAUUUCUAGAAAAGGGGUGGUAACUUCCAGGUCAUUGACAUGGAAAGUGGGGGGUAACUUCUGCAUAUUGCCAUGGCAGUGGUAAACUGACAUGGCACUGGUGGGCAUGUCUUAUGGAAAGGUGCUUUUGCCUCUUCUUU